Molecule: non-coding RNA, 668 nt
Organism: Triticum urartu
Lineage: Eukaryota; Viridiplantae; Streptophyta; Magnoliopsida; Poales; Poaceae
Source: RefSeq, a predicted model, not a curated record
ACCAAGAUCGGAUCCGCCAACCCGCGACGUCGAAGUCGCCAGCCUCGAUGGGCAACAUCAUAGCCGCUCGCCUCAUCCUCACCAUCGCCCACUCCAGCGCCUUCCCCAGCUUCCUUUCUCACCUCGUGCUUUACCAAGAUCUGGACGUUACCUCACCACCCCUCCAUCACCCACUACUUGAGAUUAGAUUCUGAUUUAGAAGUUUGGUUUCGUCCAGUGACCAACAAGAUGGCAGCGGCUGGAGACAACAUGUUUGGAAGAGGCAACCCGAUGAUGCAGUGAGGCUAGGGGAUGGGUGAGAAACUCUGCGAGGAACCCAGCUGCAAUACCAUUAGAUCUGGUCCCCUUCCAACUAUUCGAGGUUCAUCUAGAUAAGGAGUAAGAUCAAUGCCCUUUGCUCUUCUCAAAGGCACCAUGAGGAUUUAGCCGCGAGACAUGAAGCACAAGAUAGAGAAUUUGAAGAGAUGCAAAGAAGAACAACCAAGAGAAGAAUAAGUCUGGCAAAAGAAGCAACAUGAGAUGGAUAACCUGAUUGGAUUUCUUUUAAGGGCUCAAGCAACUCAACAAGCAAAUCAGUCCAGCCUAAUGGUGCAUGAAGGCCAUCAUUUUGUGAAAGAAAGAUCGUUAUUUAAUCAUACAUUGCAAUCAUCAGGACAACAUAAGUGGUC